AGAGAGAGACAUGCGCGCAUAUCAAUAAGCGGAGGAAAAGAAACUAACUAGGAUUCCCUCAGUAACGGCGAGUGAAGCGGGAAGAGCUCAAAUUUGAAAUCUUCAAGGUUCUACCUUGACGAAUUGUAGUUUAAAGAAGUGUUUUCUGUUGGAGUUUUGGUAAAAGUUCUUUGGAAUAGGACAUCAUAGAGGGUGAGAAUCCCGUAUUUGACCAUUAUUUCCAGCUUUGUGAUACACUUUCAAAGAGUCGGAUUGUUUGGGAAUGCAGUCCAAAAUGGGUGGUAAAUUUCAUCUAAAGCUAAAUAUUGGCGAGAGACCGAUAGCGAACAAGUACCGUGAGGGAAAGAUGAAAAGAACUUUGAAAAGAGAGUUAAACAGUACGUGAAAUUGUCAAAAGGGAAGCGUUUGACACCAGUGUUGUUUUCUCGAAAAUCAAUUAAAAAAGGCAGGAUUUUGUGUUGUAUUGACUUUAUCAGCUUUCUGCACUCUUUUCUUGUCUUUUUUAAUGCACUUUUCGUUUAACAAGUCAACAUCAAUUUCUUUUGUUGUAAAAGGGUCAUUGGAAGGUGGCUUUCUUUUCGGAGAAAGUGUUUAUAGCCUUUGGCCUCUGCAAUCGGAGAGAUUGAGGUCUGCAGCGUAGAUCCUUCGGGGUUAGAUACAUUUGUGCUAAGUUAUAGCCUUUCAUAGACAACUUGUUGACUAUGAUCAGUCAUGUAGCUUACUCGCUUAUGUUAUUUUACCUACGCUUAGGAUGUUGAUGUGAUACUGCGAGCA
Molecule: ribosomal RNA, 774 nt
Filed under: uncultured Neocallimastigales
Lineage: Eukaryota; Fungi; Neocallimastigomycota; Neocallimastigomycetes; Neocallimastigales
Description: partial large subunit ribosomal RNA
Rfam family: Eukaryotic large subunit ribosomal RNA
Source: RNAcentral